RNAcentral lists this long non-coding RNA (4784 nucleotides) under Medicago truncatula (barrel medic). RNAcentral describes it as "long non-coding RNA (MTRU_LNC001312)". The record is from RNAcentral. Lineage: Eukaryota; Viridiplantae; Streptophyta; Magnoliopsida; Fabales; Fabaceae.
CAUAUCAAGUGAGAGCACAUCUUAUAAUGAGAGGAUGAAAUAAUAACCCUUGGAUUAAAAUAAAUGGUUGUGAUUAUGUUUCUUUUAGUGAGUCUUAACUACCCGAUUUUUUCCAACUUCCUUGUGACCAACGCUGUCUCACUCUCUCUCCCCGUUGAAACCUUUUUCUUCCAUAUUCCUCUUUGCAUCAAUCUUCUUUGCAUGCUGAAAAAACAUCACUGAUUCAAUGAUGCUGACGAUUAUCCGACCUCUUUGCAUCAGUCUAUGGUUAAUUUUUUAAAAUUAAAUUGAUUAUAAUCAAUCUAUCAUUCCUCUUCUGAUUUACAUAUUCCAAUUAAAUUGCAAACGAGAUCGGCGACGGCAAAAGACAAAUUGCGACAACAAAGCCUUGGGAAGCUGCUACAACGGUGGAGAUGGAAAGAGAACAAGUGUAGAAUCAUAAAAAGAAGGGGAAAAAAUCAUCUGUAAUUAAAUGUGUAUGGAUCUGUUAAAUCUGACCCAUCUAAUUUAAUUUAAUGGCUAUUAAUGAGUCCUCUCAUCUCUCACAAUAUAUAUAUAUAUCCUAAAUAAAUAAUGAUAUCAUCAUUAUUUAUUCUGUGAGGAACGUUUUCCACAUGUUUCAUGUUACCUACCGCUGGCGCAUUGAAUAUUACUUGGUCAAAUCUAAUUAAUAGCAAAAACGGUUUUUGCUUGGUCAAAUGUGUGUAACGUUAACAUUGAAAACAAUUGAUAUAAAAAGUCUCACAUGUCUGAAGGAUAUAGGCAGGAAAAAAAGCUACGACAAUUCCCAUAUACACAUAUAUUUGAGAGUUGUAAUAUUGUUCACGUGCCCUUGCUAUUUCACGUGCAGUGUUAGUGCUGAAAAGCACUAGUCUUGAGGCCAACUGCAUCAGGUGAUUGACCUGUGGCGGCGAAACGGCGAAAUGCACGCCUCAGCCAACGAUCGAUAAGUUCUUCCUUUCUUCUUUAUUUUACUGAGAAUUAUAUUUAUAAUUGCGGUGAUAUUUCUUGAUUAUUAUCUUUGUUUAUUAAUUAAUUCUAUGUCAAUUUUCCAACAAUUAUUGUAGGAGAAAGUAGGACAUAGAAUUAUUAUAAGGUAAUAAGCAAUAAGAAAUAUUAACAUCAAAUUAAUAGAACUCUAAAUAUAAUAUAAUAGAGAACAACUAAACUUAUCGAUUAUUGGUUGAGGCGUGCAUGAAGCACUGGGCUGAAGAGUAUUUUGCCAUCCCGGAUAAAUAACCCGAUGCGAUAGGUCUCAUAGCUAAUACUCUGCAGGAUACAACAAUCACUUCUUCCUAGCACCGCAUGUGAAUUAGCAAGGUCUCAGGAACCACUUAUUUAGAUUGCUCAAGGGAACUCUAUUCAAGGGAACUCUAAAUGAAAUAAGAUAGAUGUCCAAGCAGCUAGCAACCCAUCUAUGUGCAUAGGUUCUCUGUUCUCUCUGGGCAUACUUCCUCAAAACCACUUAUUGAUAUUAUGUAGACUGUCCCAAACCCACUUAUUAAUAUUAUGUAAACACGUACAAAUUAAUUCCUAUGUAGGUGGUCAAACGAAACCGAAAGUGUGGUAGAAUGAUUCAAAGCUUUCAAUGUUAUGCCAAGUGAAUUGCAACUGCCAUUUUGACUAGGUAAUGUAAUAAAUAAAAAACGUGCAUGACUUGGAGUAUAAAUAGGAAACACAUAGGAUACCACCAAGUCAAGAGAAAAGCUAAUUAAUAAUAAUUAAUAAAAUAAUAAUAGAUAUAAUAAUACUUUAAAAUAAAUUAGUAAAUAAAAUUCCAACGAUCUCCACAAUUUAUUUUAAAGUUUUAUAGUGUGAAAAAUCAAUGCAUAAGCACUAGUGUCUUUUGGACUAUGAACUAGCACAUAGAGCAAAUGAAAUUUGAUCCACUAAAAUAUCAGUGAGAUUAUAACCUCUAUGAACCUCAUUCCGUAUGUAGAUUAAACACACAACUCAAAUAUAUGAGCUAUAGAUUUAUUAAGAGUUUAUAAACCCAACCUUCAACGUUGUAGUUUACACUACACCAUAGGGAUGAAUUCUCAAAAAUAAAAUGGAUAAUGUUUCAUCAAAUUGACAAAUGACUUGUUCUUACCCUUAUGAACAUAAUCUUGCAAAUUUUCACAAUUUAUGUUGGGUUACCAUCACUCUCAAUUUUUGUAUUGGGAAAAUAAAUUAAAUCCACACAAAUAUAAAUUUUUCAAAUCAUUGUAUUAUUUAAUACAAUGGAUAAUCCACAAUAUGUCACCAAUAUUUUAAGGUGAAUCUCAAUGUAUAUAUCUCAUUAGUUUAACAAGUGCCACAAAAAUAUAUUUAGAUCUGCUUAGAUUAUUCCUAAGCGACAACAUCUCUAUUUGCACUUCAAAAAGAUUUCACAAGUUUAAGAAUUCUAUCAAAGAAGAAUUUAAGAAUUCUAUCAAAGAACUCAGACAAAAACUCACUAAAACAUGUUUGAGGAUCAGAUUUCUAGCAAUUAGAAUACACAUAUGAGACGUAAUCAAAUGUACACAACUAUAUGAAUUCACAAAGCUCAAAUACAUAAAUAAGAAUAAAUUAUCCGAUGUUGCUAACAUUUGCAUUAAAUCGCCAGUUAUCCAAUUCAAACCACCAUAUUCCUAGAAUCAUAAAAUUUCUUGAUGGCUGGCAUAAUUUAUCAUGUUAGUAUGAUUCUAAAAUAUUGGCACAAUGUUUUCAGACUCAACCCAACACAUCUAACUCUGAUAUUAUGUAGUUAAGAAUGCAAACAACAGACACAUGAUCUAAUUCAUUCAUAGUUAUUCUGACACGCUAUUAUCAUAAUUUUCCAUAUAAUUCCAAUUCAUUACAUCUUCUCACACUAUAUCCUAGUGCCACGGUUUAAAGUAAGCUCAAGAAUAAAUUAUCAUACAUCAUGAGUGAACAUCACAGUAUAAACACAAAAAAAAAAAAAAAAAUUGUAAAAAAUCCUUCGGUGAGCAUGUGCAUAUAAUAUGUCCUUUCAACAAAAUAUCUAUGAACAUAUUUCACAAAUUAUAAAGUGAACAUAUCAAUGUAUUUUAUAAUAACAUAAUUUUCCUGCUUUUGCAAAUAUCCCUCAAUUUCCAAUUUAUAUAAACACUUCAUCACUAUACUCCUUGAGACGUAGAACAGUUAUAAGUUCAAGAAAACAUUCGGUUUUAAACACAAUGAUCAUAAUAUGUACUUGCAAACAAUGUUCCACAAAUCGCGUGUCAAUUCGGCGAGUUUACCGAGUUUACGUGUUUAGGUGCUAAAAACGUGUUAACUUGGAGGUAAACUUGAUUUCUGGUAAAAUCGGAAAGUUUGACGAGUUUGACCGAGUUAACACUCAGUAAACUCGUGUGAAAUCGGGCAAGUUAACCGUUUUUGCGAGUUUACUCCUGUUUUUUUUUCUUCAAAAAUGGCCCAUUGUUUUGGCCCAUUUUUUUCAAGCCCAAAUGAAAACAUAUUUACUUUCUAGCUUUACAACACGUUUAAGCUUACUGAAGUGAAACAUUUCAUAUCAUUUUCUUAGAGUUUUCAAGAACAGGGGAGCGAAUGAAACAUUAGGUUUCCAAAGAUGAAGAUAUAGAUGAGAAUGGUGUUAUGGAACUUUAGAAGAUUGACCUUUCGAAGAAAUUACCUAGUUUGUUUUUUGGAUAGUUUUAUUCUCAAGUUUAUAAACUUGUGAAACUUCCUUUUUGGGAUGGGUAGACUUUAGAGACUUAUGAAACCUAUGCUUUUGUGUGUUAAUUUUUCUAUUUUGAUACUAAGUUAAGCAUACCACUUUUUUAUGGUGGUUUGGUAUACUUUGCAUUUAUAAGUAAGUCUAUAUUUUUCACUAUUGAUAUUUUUACAGUAUUAUAUUAGCUUAGAUAUGUAUGCAUAUAAUAAAUUGUAUAAAAUUUUAAUUUUAGGUAAACUCGUACGAGUUUUCGAGUCGAGUUUAUCUAGAUAAAACGAGUCGAGGUAAACUCUCAAGUUGCAAAACCUUCCUUGCAAAGAACCAAAAACACAACUGCCGUAAAAGUGAUAGAUAAAUUAUUAUGUAACAAUUAUAAAAUGAAGAAAUACCACUUUUAGAAUUCAACUAAUCACCACAAAAAAGAAAACCUUUUGACUAUACAGGAAUUAUUAGCCCACGGUAAUCUUAAUAUUUUUAGGAAAUUUGUCCAAGUCAAAACAAUAUAGUUAAUAAUUAGCAAAACAAAUCACAGCAACCAAUUUAGUGAACAUUAGAUGUAAGACAUUUCCAUAAACAUUCAAUUCAAGAUCUAAGUUUCAAUCACACACAAAACAAAGUUCAACAAGGCUUGUGAGGUUUAGAUAUUAGGAUAUGUACCUUGCCUCUUGUGGAUGGUUUCAAGAGGAGAAUAGUUUAUAACUUACAAUGGAGUUGAUCAAAUCAUACUCUUGUAGACUGAACCGAUGAAUUCCUCCAUUUUUAGGUAUUUGCCAUCUUCCUCUAAACAAAAGUUCACCCAAUAUUUGGCUCUCUCAAUGCUCACUAGACCAAUUAUGUACGAUGCUUCGACGGAGUUUCUGGAUCUAUCAUACAUGUCGCAUAACAUAGAACCAACGUUAGUGCUACUAAUUUCUCACUCAACAGUAUAAAGAAUUCUGAAAUUAGAAUCAGUAACAAGUAUUCUUUAUAAUAGUAAUACUAUGCCACAAAAUACUCUUAAGAUUGUAGGAGAAAGUAGACAUAAAAUUAUUAUAAGGUAAUAAGCAAUAAGAAAUAUUAGCAUCAAAUUAAUAGAACUCUAAACAUAAUAGAAUAGAGAACAAGUAAACUUAUCGAUUAUUGACUG